This 301-nucleotide ribosomal RNA is filed under the name uncultured bacterium. RNAcentral describes it as "partial 16S ribosomal RNA". It matches the Rfam family "Bacterial small subunit ribosomal RNA", at positions 509 to 807 of the family's 1533-position model. The record is from RNAcentral.
CAGCCGCCACGGGAAUACGUAGGUGGCAAGCGUUGUCCGGAAUUAUUGGGCGUAAAGGGCUCGCAGGUGGUUUCUUAAGUCUGAUGUGAAAGCCCCCGGCUCAACCGGGGAGGGUCAUUGGAAACUGGGAAACUUGAGUGCAGAAGAGGAGAGUGGAAUUUCACGUGUAGCGGUGAAAUGCGUAGAGAUGUGGAGGAACACCAGUGGCGAAGGCGACUCUCUGGUCUGUAACUGACGCUGAGGAGCGAAAGCGUGGGGAGCGAACAGGAUUAGAUACCCCCGUAGUCCCUGUCUCUUAUAC